AUUGAACGCUGGCGGCAUGCCUUACACAUGCAAGUCGAACGGUAACGGGCCUUCGGGUGCCGACGAGUGGCGAACGGGUGAGUAAUACAUCGGAACGUGCCCGAUCGUGGGGGAUAACGAGGCGAAAGCUUUGCUAAUACCGCAUACGAUCUACGGAUGAAAGCAGGGGACCGCAAGGCCUUGCGCGGACGGAGCGGCCGAUGGCAGAUUAGGUAGUUGGUGGGAUAAAAGCUUACCAAGCCGACGAUCUGUAGCUGGUCUGAGAGGAUGAUCAGCCACACGGGGACUGAGACACGGCCCAGACUCCUACGGGAGGCAGCAGUGGGGAAUUUUGGACAAUGGGCGCAAGCCUGAUCCAGCCAUGCCGCGUGCAGGAUGAAGGCCUUCGGGUUGUAAACUGCUUUUGUACGGAACGAAAAGCCUUCUUUUAAUACAGGAGGGUCAUGACGGUACCGUAAGAAUAAGCACCGGCUAACUACGUG
RNAcentral lists this ribosomal RNA (482 nucleotides) under uncultured bacterium. Its description in RNAcentral is "partial 16S ribosomal RNA". It matches the Rfam family "Bacterial small subunit ribosomal RNA", at positions 30 to 507 of the family's 1533-position model. The record is from RNAcentral.